Molecule: ribosomal RNA, 2353 nt
Filed under: Escherichia coli B104
Lineage: Bacteria; Pseudomonadati; Pseudomonadota; Gammaproteobacteria; Enterobacterales; Enterobacteriaceae
Description: bacterial LSU rRNA
Rfam family: Bacterial large subunit ribosomal RNA
Source: RNAcentral
AUCUGUGUGACUGCGUACCUUUUGUAUAAUGGGUCAGCGACUUAUAUUCUGUAGCAAGGUUAACCGAAUAGGGGAGCCGAAGGGAAACCGAGUCUUAACGGGCGUUAAGUUGCAGGGUAUAGACCCGAAACCCGGUGAUCUAGCCAUGGGCAGGUUGAAGGUUGGGUAACACUAACUGGAGGACCGAACCGACUAAUGUUGAAAAAUUAGCGGAUGACUUGUGGCUGGGGGUGAAAGGCCAAUCAAACCGGGAGAUAGCUGGUUCUCCCCGAAAGCUAUUUAGGUAGCGCCUCGUGAAUUCAUCUCCGGGGGUAGAGCACUGUUUCGGCAAGGGGGUCAUCCCGACUUACCAACCCGAUGCAAACUGCGAAUACCGGAGAAUGUUAUCACGGGAGACACACGGCGGGUGCUAACGUCCGUCGUGAAGAGGGAAACAACCCAGACCGCCAGCUAAGGUCCCAAAGUCAUGGUUAAGUGGGAAACGAUGUGGGAAGGCCCAGACAGCCAGGAUGUUGGCUUAGAAGCAGCCAUCAUUUAAAGAAAGCGUAAUAGCUCACUGGUCGAGUCGGCCUGCGCGGAAGAUGUAACGGGGCUAAACCAUGCACCGAAGCUGCGGCAGCGACACUGUGUGUUGUUGGGUAGGGGAGCGUUCUGUAAGCCUGUGAAGGUGUCUGUGAGGAUGCUGGAGGUAUCAGAAGUGCGAAUGCUGACAUAAGUAACGAUAAAGCGGGUGAAAAGCCCGCUCGCCGGAAGACCAAGGGUUCCUGUCCAACGUUAAUCGGGGCAGGGUGAGUCGACCCCUAAGGCGAGGCCGAAAGGCGUAGUCGAUGGGAAACAGGUUAAUAUUCCUGUACUUGGUGUUACUGCGAAGGGGGGACGGAGAAGGCUAUGUUGGCCGGGCGACGGUUGUCCCGGUUUAAGCGUGUAGGCUGGUUUUCCAGGCAAAUCCGGAAAAUCAAGGCUGAGGCGUGAUGACGAGGCACUACGGUGCUGAAGCAACAAAUGCCCUGCUUCCAGGAAAAGCCUCUAAGCAUCAGGUAACAUCAAAUCGUACCCCAAACCGACACAGGUGGUCAGGUAGAGAAUACCAAGGCGCUUGAGAGAACUCGGGUGAAGGAACUAGGCAAAAUGGUGCCGUAACUUCGGGAGAAGGCACGCUGAUAUGUAGGUGAAGUCCCUCGCGGAUGGAGCUGAAAUCAGUCGAAGAUACCAGCUGGCUGCAACUGUUUAUUAAAAACACAGCACUGUGCAAACACGAAAGUGGACGUAUACGGUGUGACGCCUGCCCGGUGCCGGAAGGUUAAUUGAUGGGGUCAGCGCAAGCGAAGCUCUUGAUCGAAGCCCCGGUAAACGGCGGCCGUAACUAUAACGGUCCUAAGGUAGCGAAAUUCCUUGUCGGGUAAGUUCCGACCUGCACGAAUGGCGUAAUGAUGGCCAGGCUGUCUCCACCCGAGACUCAGUGAAAUUGAACUCGCUGUGAAGAUGCAGUGUACCCGCGGCAAGACGGAAAGACCCCGUGAACCUUUACUAUAGCUUGACACUGAACAUUGAGCCUUGAUGUGUAGGAUAGGUGGGAGGCUUUGAAGUGUGGACGCCAGUCUGCAUGGAGCCGACCUUGAAAUACCACCCUUUAAUGUUUGAUGUUCUAACGUGGACCCGUGAUCCGGGUUGCGGACAGUGUCUGGUGGGUAGUUUGACUGGGGCGGUCUCCUCCUAAAGAGUAACGGAGGAGCACGAAGGUUGGCUAAUCCUGGUCGGACAUCAGGAGGUUAGUGCAAUGGCAUAAGCCAGCUUGACUGCGAGCGUGACGGCGCGAGCAGGUGCGAAAGCAGGUCAUAGUGAUCCGGUGGUUCUGAAUGGAAGGGCCAUCGCUCAACGGAUAAAAGGUACUCCGGGGAUAACAGGCUGAUACCGCCCAAGAGUUCAUAUCGACGGCGGUGUUUGGCACCUCGAUGUCGGCUCAUCACAUCCUGGGGCUGAAGUAGGUCCCAAGGGUAUGGCUGUUCGCCAUUUAAAGUGGUACGCGAGCUGGGUUUAGAACGUCGUGAGACAGUUCGGUCCCUAUCUGCCGUGGGCGCUGGAGAACUGAGGGGGGCUGCUCCUAGUACGAGAGGACCGGAGUGGACGCAUCACUGGUGUUCGGGUUGUCAUGCCAAUGGCACUGCCCGGUAGCUAAAUGCGGAAGAGAUAAGUGCUGAAAGCAUCUAAGCACGAAACUUGCCCCGAGAUGAGUUCUCCCUGACCCUUUAAGGGUCCUGAAGGAACGUUGAAGACGACGACGUUGAUAGGCCGGGUGUGUAAGCGCAGCGAUGCGUUGAGCUAACCGGUACUAAUGAACCGUGAGGCUUAACCU